RNAcentral lists this unclassified non-coding RNA (524 nucleotides) under Anelosimus eximius. RNAcentral's name for it is "partial contains 16S ribosomal RNA and tRNA-Leu (trnL)". The stretch from base 105 to 402 matches the Rfam family "Bacterial large subunit ribosomal RNA", at positions 2074 to 2646 of the family's 2925-position model. Lineage: Eukaryota; Metazoa; Arthropoda; Arachnida; Araneae; Theridiidae. The record is from RNAcentral.
UUUGUUUUUUAAUUAAAAACUAGAAUGAAAGGUUAUACAUUUAAAUUUCUUUAUUAAUUUUUUAUAUAUAAUUUAUAUUAAAUAUAAAAAUAUAUUUUUUAAAUAAAAAGACGAUAAGACCCUAUUAAAUUUUACUUAUAGUUUAACUGGGGAAGUUUUAAAAAUAAAAUUUUUUAUAAAAAUAAAAAUAAAUCUAAUAAAAUUAAAAUUAAAUUAAAUUACUAUAGGGAUAACAGCAUUAUAUUUUUUAAAAGUUCAUAUUAAAAAAAAUGAUUGUGACCUCGAUGUUGAAUUAUAUUUUCUUUAUUAAUGCAAUAAUUAUAAAAGUAGAUCUGUUCGAUCUUUAAAAUAUUACAUGAUUUGAGUUCAAACCGGUGUAAACCAGGUUGGUUUCUAUCUUUUUAUAAAUUCAUAUAUAUAUGUAUAUAUAUAAAUUUUUCAAGUACGAAAGGAAAAAAAAAUUUUUAUUUUAAUUAAUUAGCAAUUAAUAUGCAUUAGAUUUAGAAUCUAAAUAAACUAUUAUU